This 105-nucleotide microRNA precursor is filed under the name Populus trichocarpa (black cottonwood). Its description in RNAcentral is "miR6474 stem-loop (ptc-MIR6474)". Lineage: Eukaryota; Viridiplantae; Streptophyta; Magnoliopsida; Malpighiales; Salicaceae. The record is from miRBase by way of RNAcentral.
GAAAGCCCCUAUUUCAUGUUCAGAUCAGUAGAUAGCAUGUAGUUUGCUUGUGGUAAUGGUACCUUGAUCAGACUACUUGCUAUCUACGGAUCUGCACAGGUUUUU